This is a long non-coding RNA of Amblyraja radiata (thorny skate), 895 nucleotides long. RefSeq lists it as uncharacterized. The transcript has 3 exons. The record is from RefSeq and is a predicted model, not a curated record. Lineage: Eukaryota; Metazoa; Chordata; Chondrichthyes; Rajiformes; Rajidae.
CGUCAGAGACUCAGGUUCGAUCCUGACGAUGGGUGCUGUCUGAGCGGAGCUUUCCCAUUUCAUUCGACCUCGCAACUUGUUUGGAUUAAACUCCAUCUGCCAUUUCUCUGCCCACUUCUACACCUAAUCUUAGAUCCAACUGAACAAUUUGACAGCCCUCCUCACUGAUUGCAAUUCCACCAAUUUUGACGCCAUCUGCACAUUUACUAACCAACCUUACAUACAAGUCGUUUAUACAACUCACAAAGAGAGAUCCCAGCACAUAUCUCUGUGAUACUCCACUGCUCACAGACCUCCAGCCAGAAUAUCUAUCUCCCACCACAACCCUGUCUUCUAUGAAGUAGCCAGUUCUAAAUCCAUAUGACCACGCCACCAUGGAUCCAAUGCAUCUUAAUCUUCAGGAUUAGUCGACCAUAAGGGACUUUAUCUGGUAUCUUACUCAAAUCCAUACAGAGACAAGACAAAGAAACAUGGCCUGUUUGUAGAAUUCUCUAUCCACACCAAGUAUACAAUCCAUGAUCACAUUGAAUGGCGGUGCUGGCUCGAAUGGCCUACUCCUGUACCUAUUGUCUAUUGUCUAUCCCCAGCAGGUUCUGCUCUUACCUACCCAUUGAUAACUACCAGAUAGAAAAUGCCACCAUUGUUUUCCUCACAACCACAUACAAUACACAUCUCCCACCACCGCCAGCCCAUUGACUUUGGCUUUUACUGGGCUAAAGGAGCUCCAUAAAGGCAUGUUUUUGGUGAGUACGUGUGAGCUAUGAGCCCACAGAGGUGGGGAUUCACAUUCUAUGUGAACUGGAAAAAUAGAUUCAUAGAACAGUACAGCACAGGAACAGGCCCUUCAGCCCAUCAUUUCUGUGCUGCACUUGAUGCCAGAUUAAACUAGCGACAA